Molecule: ribosomal RNA, 508 nt
Filed under: uncultured bacterium
Lineage: Bacteria
Description: bacterial SSU rRNA
Rfam family: Bacterial small subunit ribosomal RNA
Source: RNAcentral
UCGAACGAGGUCGCCUGGGGUAGCAAUAUUCCGGGCGGUUGAGUGGCGCACGGGUGAGUAACACGUGAGUGACCUGCCCUUGGGUUCGGGAUACCCCUUCGAAAGGAGGGCUAAUACCGGAUACGGUCCCCUGGCUGCGAGGCGAGGGGAAGAAAGGUAGCCGCAAGGCUGCCGCACGAGGAGGGGCUCGCGGCCUAUCAGCUAGUUGGGGGGGUAACGGCCCACCAAGGCGAUGACGGGUAGCUGGUCUGAGAGGACGACCAGCCACACGGGGACUGAGACACGGCCCCGACUCCUACGGGAGGCAGUAGUGGGGAAUUUUCCGCAAUGGGCGCAAGCCUGACGGAGUGACGCCGCGUGGGGGACGAAGGCCUUCGGGUCGUAAACCCCUGUCAGAGGGAAAGAAGGUCGGCGGCGUGAACAGCGUCGUCGAUUGACGGUACCUUCAGAGGAAGCCCCGGCCAACUCUGUGCCAGCAGCCGCGGUAAGACAGAGGGGGCAAGCGUUG